GGGUCAGUAGGUUGGUCGUGCCACCGGUACGUACUGGUCUCAAUGAUUCCUCCUUCCUGAAGAACCGUAAUGCCAUUAAUUUGGUGUUGCGGGGAAACAGGACUGUUACUUUGAAAAAAUUAGAGUGUUUAAAGCAAGCUAACGCUUGAAUACAUCAGCAUGGAAUAAUGAAAUAGGACGAUCGAUCCUAUUUUGUUGGUUUCUAGGAUUGACGUA
Molecule: ribosomal RNA, 216 nt
Filed under: Glomeromycotina sp.
Lineage: Eukaryota; Fungi; Glomeromycota
Description: partial small subunit ribosomal RNA
Rfam family: Eukaryotic small subunit ribosomal RNA (bases 40-216)
Source: RNAcentral